Molecule: long non-coding RNA, 233 nt
Organism: Rosa chinensis
Lineage: Eukaryota; Viridiplantae; Streptophyta; Magnoliopsida; Rosales; Rosaceae
Exons: 3
Source: RefSeq, a predicted model, not a curated record
GGAAAGACUCUUUACAUUGCGUCACUUUUGAGUGGCCAAGGUAUGGUAUAUGCAAUUGACAUAAAUGAAGGGCGGUUGAGAAUCCUCAAAGAAAUGGCUAAGUUGCACCAAGUAGAUGGUGUCAUCACCACUAUCCAUGCUGAUAUGCGUAGUUAUACUGACAAUAAUACUAUGAAGUGUGAUAAAGUUCUGCUGGAUGCUCCAUGUUCUGGACUGCGUGUUCUCCCCAAGGU